RNAcentral lists this long non-coding RNA (1259 nucleotides) under Homo sapiens (human). RNAcentral's name for it is "HSALNT0318919". The record is from RNAcentral. Lineage: Eukaryota; Metazoa; Chordata; Mammalia; Primates; Hominidae.
UUUUUAGGAAUCCAAGGCAGGCCAACAUAUUGAAAUAAUAGCUACAAAACUCCUAACCUUCUUUGGGGGUCAUACACAGCAUACUAUACUUGGGAAUGGCAUUCUGACACAUUUAUUACAUAAUAAUGCUAUUAUAUGUAAUGCUAUUCUGACACAUUUGUUAGGUAACAUUAAUGGCUUUGAGUGGGACUUAGAACAAGAAAAGGCUCUGAAACAGAUCCAAGAUGUUGUUUGAGCCAUGCAACUAGAAGAUCUCAUAGAACUAAAGUUAUCUAAUUUACAGAAAAGGUUUUACGUGACGUCUAUUGUACAGAUUCAUAUGAAAACCAUAGUUCAAACUCCAAGGUUUAAGAAGUAAGAAAGAUCAUGCCAUUUGCAACAAACAUGCAUGCAUAUUUGAAAAGCAACUGUAAGUAUGCUAUUGGACAUUGGUAAAGAUUGAAUAUCUGACCAUGGCAUAUCAAGAAACCAUGGAAUGAGUACUGCUUAUCAAGAUCUGGGUGUGAGAAGACUUAAAAAGUCAGAUAGUCAGUGAGAACCAGCUAGAAUCCAUGUGAAAAAGUGGGAAGAUGAAGUGUUUGGAGGGCUUUUAAAUGGAGUAAAAUGGAAACAAAGACAAGUUAUCCCAACACCAAAAAGAGUAGGGGAUAGAAGGAUAUGUCAAGGUUUGAAAACCAUCCUUCAGAAAUGCAGGAAAGUCAAAGCUAGAAAUUUCUUUUAUGGUACCCAGGAUUUGUUUUAAUUAAGUUUGAUAAGGCACACAGGCACGAACGUGAUUGUGGUUAAUAAAGGCAUUUGCAUUAUUCUCACGGUCUCCUAAAAAUAGAAGGCCCAGCACACUAUGCCUGGGAAGUAUCUGCAUGAGAUGAGCAGGCAGAGAGGAGAGCUGAGGGCAGGGCCUUGACUGGAGUUUUUGUUGGGAGGAAUGGACAAUGGAAAGCACGCAAGCCAAAUCUGUUGUGGGAAAACUAGAAGACCAAAAAAAGCACGAAAGUCAAGAAAGAAGUCUCUUUUCACAUGAAAGUGGCUGUGCUAAUGGUCUAUCAAGAUAUCCUGAGUUUCCAGUAGAGAUGUUUCAGCCAUAACACAGGCCUGGUAGAAAAAGCCUGAAGACAAAUACUGCUAUGAAUGGUUACAUCUAGGACUUCUGAAAUUAGCCCCAGAUUCAACUCAUUUUUUUCUGCAUUUGCUGAGCAAUAUGACAUGUUUACACCGAUUAGCUAAAAAGUUAUGUGAAGAAUGGGCAACAAUAUCUCUAA